Molecule: long non-coding RNA, 871 nt
Filed under: Fukomys damarensis (Damara mole-rat)
Lineage: Eukaryota; Metazoa; Chordata; Mammalia; Rodentia; Bathyergidae
Description: lncRNA (ENSFDAG00000025398.1)
Source: RNAcentral
AACUCCGAUCAAAUGGCUGAAAUUGUAAGAAGCCUGUUGGAAGGAACGAUUGUCCAAAGAUGAGGUAUUCUCCGGACACUGACUACCCCAUUUCCCAGGAUGCCAAACUGCCUAAAGAGGUUGUUUCAUGAGAAUUGGUCACUUACCUACCUGAAUUGGUCAGCAUUAUAAAUGAGCUGAAACCUGAUAUAAACACAAACAGAGACAACGAUUCAACUGCUGGUGAAUCCCAGACCCGUGGCCCAGAGACCAGCACAGACAUAUCCCAGGAGGACACACAGACUUUGAAGACUGUCACAGAUGAAGAUUCAAAUGCUGGUGUAUCCCAGACCCACGGCCCAGAGUCCACCGGAGACAUAUCCCAGGAGGACACACAGACCUUGAAGCCUGUCAUAGAUGAACACUCAACUACUGGUGUAUCCCAGACCUACAGCCCAGAGUCCACUGGAGACAUAUCCCAGGAGGACACACAGACCUUGAAGCCUGUCAUAGUUGAACAUUCAACUGCUGGUGUAUCCCAGACCCACAGCCCAGAGUCCACCGGAGACAUAUCCCAGGAAGACACACAGACUUUGAUAGAAAACAGCACCGCCACAGGACUCAGGUUGUCCACUGCAAAGCAUGCUGAAAAAGAAACAAAGUCCAUAGCAGCCAUGUCUACCUAUUUACCAUCCUCCACUUUCCGGGAAGACUCAAAUGCUUAAAGAAGCCUAUCAUAUACUACAAGAGAGUGCGUGAUUGUAGAAACGUAGUGAAAAACCAGAUGUACUCAGCAGAGGAGAAACAUCAAGGAGUUGAUCGUGGAUGAGUGUAGUAUAUCGUAGAUGCACAAGAGGGGCAUUUCUUAGUUCCAUCCUAUUUAAUAAGGGCU